Long non-coding RNA from Aedes albopictus (Asian tiger mosquito), 455 nucleotides. RefSeq lists it as uncharacterized. The transcript has 2 exons. The record is from RefSeq and is a predicted model, not a curated record. NCBI's taxonomy places the organism in Eukaryota, Metazoa, Arthropoda, Insecta, Diptera, Culicidae.
UGUUGCUGUCUGGCCGUUUCCUAUUUAUUCGGCUCGCUGGCUGGUUGGCGGGUUGGCGGUGGAAGGCCGUUCCGGUGAAACUGCUUAAUCCGAUUGUCAAUGCCGAGAGGAAGCACACAGGAAUCGUAUUAUGUUUUAUUCGUUCCGGAUGCGGCCAGAGCAUCGUCAUCAGUACAGAGGCUGGUUAGGGGUACAAAUCCAUGCCGGAAACCGGUCGCGGUGGCAGUUGCUUCCCUUUGUGUGGCCGACGUACUUUCAAUGCUGGCUGGAGGAUUAUCUGGAAAAUGUAUUGGGGAAAAAAGCGAAAAAAAAAGACUGUCAUACAUGAAGAGAUUUGAGCUGACAAAGGAAAUCAACGCGCGCUCGUUGUGCCGUGGGAAAUGUUUGCGUUAGGUAUUAAAUUUUCGUUGGAAGGAUAAAGGCUGGAAAUAGAUAUAGAUAUUUUUGGUAUUGAA